ACUGUAAACCAAAACCCUCGCCCUCCUUUUCUUACAUAUAUCAUAUUAAGGGAAAUUUUGAAAAGAAAAGGCAAUUACAUAAUAGCAACGUCAGGAAUACCAUAUUAAAACCAUUCAAAGAAGGAAACCCCACAAGUAGGUGAGGCUGCUGAGAAACUGCUGUUUACAAGUAGGUGAGGGACAGUGAUAGGCUCACCCUCAAGCUAAUUUAUACGGAGCAGCAAAGAACGUCAAGCCGGAACCGUCUGCAGGAACCGUCAAGCCUUGGAGAUUUUGACAAGCAGGAACCGUCUGCACACAGAGGGAGAAAAACACCACACAAGAACGUCAAGCCUUCGAAUGUUGGAGACUCAAUUGCUAUUUCAACCAAACCAACAUUUGCAUAAAUUAAUCAGUAAAACCCAUCUCAUAAAAUCAGAGAUAUUGAGAGUUAUUGGAGACUAAACAAAACCCAUCUCAUAAUCAUAAAUUAAUCAGUCAAGCCUUCGAAUGUUGAAGCCUUCGAACGUCAAGCCUUCGAAUGUUGGAGACUAAACAAAACCCAUCUCAUAAAAUCAGAGAUAUUCAUAAAUUAAUCAGUAACCAGAGACCAACAUUUGCAUCAGGUGAGCUAAAUUCAAUAAAUUAAUUAAAUCAAUUCAACCUUAAUUUUGCAUCAGACCAACUAAAUUCAGUAACCAGGCCAACAUUUGCAUCAGCUAAAUUCAGUAACCAGACCAACAUUUGCAUCAGAAACCCUUACCUUGAAUUUGAGACUUGAUUCGCGUCGGCUUCGAGAUUCGUGUGGCUGCGGUUCUGGGUUCAAGAUUUGGGGAUCAAGGCGAAAAGGAGAGAUAGAGGAGAUGAGGACUACGGGAAGAGUAGAUGAGGAUUAUGGAAAGGGGAGAUAGAGUGACGGGGAAGAUAGAGCGAGAGGGCGA
RNAcentral lists this long non-coding RNA (920 nucleotides) under Malus domestica (apple). Its description in RNAcentral is "long non-coding RNA (MDOM_LNC004710)". The record is from RNAcentral. Lineage: Eukaryota; Viridiplantae; Streptophyta; Magnoliopsida; Rosales; Rosaceae.